RNAcentral lists this ribosomal RNA (427 nucleotides) under uncultured bacterium. RNAcentral describes it as "bacterial SSU rRNA". It matches the Rfam family "Bacterial small subunit ribosomal RNA", at positions 355 to 775 of the family's 1533-position model. The record is from RNAcentral.
UCGAGAAUUUUUCACAAUGGGCGCAAGCCUGAUGGAGCGACGCCGCGUGGGGGAUGAAGGGUUUCGAUCCGUAAACCCCUGUCAUUUGCGAACAAACCUUAAUUGUGAAUAGCGAUUAAGCUGAUUGUAGCGAAAGAGGAAGGGACGGCUAACUCUGUGCCAGCAGCCGCGGUAAUACAGAGGUCCCAAGCGUUGUUCGGAUUCACUGGGCGUAAAGGGUGCGUAGGUGGCCGGGUAAGUUCGGUGUGAAAGCUCGGAGCUUAACUCCGAAAUGGCAUUGAAUACUAUCCGGCUAGAGGGUCGGAGGGGAGACUGGAAUUCUCGGUGUAGCAGUGAAAUGCGUAGAUAUCGAGAGGAACACCAGUGGCGAAGGCGAGUCUCUGGACGACUCCUGACACUGAGGCACGAAAGCUAGGGGAGCAAACAG